GUACUCCACGGCCCGGCACCGGUCCGCGGACCGGGGGUUGGGGACCACUGGCCUAGAGGGCAUUAAGACAUAACAUACUGUAACUGACCCAUAUAUUCUCUCCUUUAAGUAUAGCUGUAAUACAUAUCAGUUAGAGUCAUGAUUCUCUUGGGUCAAAAGAAAAUUAGCUUCAGCAGUCAGUAUUUCACUGUCUGGAGCUGGAAGAUUUACAGCACCCUUCUCAGUCCUUAAAAGGCAGGAAAAAAUGUAAGGAAGUAUUGAUGCUGGUCAGUAAGAUCAAAGACAAGCAGCUUUUGUGGGUGUUGAUGGACACAUUUCAGUCUUUCCAGAAAAUGGCUACCUUGAGAGAUUGCCCAUCCACAGACUGAUUGCCUUAGUACAGUGUUUCUCAAUCUCAGCAACCUUAAGAUAAAUGACUUCAGCUCUCAGCAUUCUCCAGCCAGCAUGUUCACAUAUCUUAAAUUUGCUAAAAUUAUCUACAUCUAUUAAGAAAGUGUUUCUCAAUCACAAAGUACCUAUUUACCAAAAGAUAAACUGUCUGGUCAUCCAUUUACUCUUUCCAGGGUGCUCUCAAUAACUGUUGGAGAAAAAAGAGACUUUGUACCUUAGAAUCACAGAAAAGCUUUUUAACUCCAAAAAUGGAAGGGGAAAAUCUAUAGUCCCUAGAAUUUGUUUUGCAAGUUUAUAAAAGGAAGGCUUUUAAAAAGCCUUAAUACAAUGAGCUUGAUGGGCAACAGAAAAUUAAUAAAAGUAAAAUAAUAAAAUCUCAGGUUUGUGGACCUUCAUUGAAAAAUCCUAUCUAUCUUUCUACUAUCUAUCUUAUGUGAGAGGCUCAUAACCUUCUACUGAACUGUUAAGAAGAAUGGAAAAUAUCAGAGAUUCAAGAAACUUGGAAAAUAAAUCUUUUCAUUGGUCAAAUGUACAUUCGCAGUGCAAUUGUUGUGGACUCUGGGGAAUCUGAGGUGAUGCUGUGUUGAAUUUUCUUUGGAUCUAAAUACUGAUACAAAUGAGUAUCAGGGAAAAAGCAACAGUGAAAGAGGAAAUUUGCUUUAAUUGAAGAAGUUAAAUGAUAACACAAUUAUGCUGUGAAAUAAAUUAACAAUGAUACAAUGAAAA
This is a long non-coding RNA of Thamnophis elegans (Western terrestrial garter snake), 1116 nucleotides long. RefSeq lists it as uncharacterized. The transcript has 3 exons. NCBI's taxonomy places the organism in Eukaryota, Metazoa, Chordata, Lepidosauria, Squamata, Natricidae. The record is from RefSeq and is a predicted model, not a curated record.